UGCUUAACACAUGCAAGUCGAACGAUGAAGCUCCAGCUUGCUGGAGUGGAUUAGUGGCGAACGGGUGAGUAACACGUGAGCAACCUGCCCCUGACUCUGGGAUAAGCGCUGGAAACGGCGUCUAAUACUGGAUAUGCACUGUAGCCGCAUGGUUUGCAGUGGGAAAGAUUUAUCGGUUGGGGAUGGGCUCGCGGCCUAUCAGCUUGUUGGUGAGGUAAUGGCUCACCAAGGCGUCGACGGGUAGCCGGCCUGAGAGGGUGACCGGCCACACUGGGACUGAGACACGGCCCAGACUCCUACGGGAGGCAGCAGUGGGGAAUAUUGCACAAUGGGCGCAAGCCUGAUGCAGCAACGCCGCGUGAGGGAUGACGGCCUUCGGGUUGUAAACCUCUUUUAGCAGGGAAGAAGCCUUCGGGUGACGGUACCUGCAGAAAAAGCGCCGGCU
This 445-nucleotide ribosomal RNA is filed under the name Microbacterium halotolerans. RNAcentral describes it as "bacterial SSU rRNA". It matches the Rfam family "Bacterial small subunit ribosomal RNA", at positions 45 to 498 of the family's 1533-position model. The record is from RNAcentral. Lineage: Bacteria; Bacillati; Actinomycetota; Actinomycetes; Micrococcales; Microbacteriaceae.